Molecule: ribosomal RNA, 422 nt
Filed under: uncultured bacterium
Lineage: Bacteria
Description: bacterial SSU rRNA
Rfam family: Bacterial small subunit ribosomal RNA
Source: RNAcentral
AGGGAAUAUUGGACAAUGGGGGGAACCCUGAUCCAGCCAUGCCGCGUGGAGGAAGACUGCCCUCUGGGUUGUAAACUCCUUUUAUAUGGGAAGAACCGUCCUCAUUGAUGAGUGACCUGACGGUACCAUAGGAAUAAGCACCGGCUAACUCCGUGCCAGCAGCCGCGGUAAUACGGAGGGUGCAAGCGUUAUCCGGAUUCACUGGGUUUAAAGGGUGCGUAGGCGGAUAUGUAAGUCAGUGGUGAAAUCAACGGGCUCAACCUGUUAACUGCCAUUGAUACUGUGUAUCUUGAAUAUGAGAGAGGUAGGCGGAAUGUUGCCUGUAGCGGUGAAAUGCUUAAAUAUGCUACGGAACACCGAUUGCGAAGGCAGCUUACUAUUUCGUAAUUGACGCUGAGGCACGAAAGCGUGGGUAGCGAACA